AAACACUACGGGGUAGUAGCACUAUAAGAAGCGCGAGGAAGGCUUUGCCGGCACGUGUUUGACGUGCCGGCAAAGGCCACCGGCAGUACGCCAGGCCAACGACUAAGAAAUACGAGGCACGCUUCGAGCGUGGUUGAAAUUGGGCGUUCCGCCGCCCGGCCGGCCGUGGUCAGAGCCGGCGGGCGGCGGACGUGUUUUAAGC
Molecule: non-coding RNA, 202 nt
Filed under: Burkholderia gladioli
Lineage: Bacteria; Pseudomonadati; Pseudomonadota; Betaproteobacteria; Burkholderiales; Burkholderiaceae
Description: BTH_s1
Rfam family: Burkholderia sRNA 1
About the family: Trans-encoded, exhibits differential expression profiles dependent on growth phase and cell stimuli, such as antbiotics and serum.
Source: RNAcentral